RNAcentral lists this ribosomal RNA (506 nucleotides) under uncultured bacterium. Its description in RNAcentral is "partial 16S ribosomal RNA". It matches the Rfam family "Bacterial small subunit ribosomal RNA", at positions 29 to 523 of the family's 1533-position model. The record is from RNAcentral.
AGUGAACGCUGGCGGUAGGCCUAACACAUGCAAGUCGAACGGCAGCACAGGAGAGCUUGCUCUCUGGGUGGCGAGUGGCGGACGGGUGAGGAAUACAUCGGAAUCUACUUUUUCGUGGGGGAUAACGUCGGGAAACUUACGCUAAUACCGCAUACGACCUACGGGUGAAAGCAGGGGAUCUUCGGACCUUGCGCGAUUGAAUGAGCCGAUGUCGGAUUAGCUAGUUGGCGGGGUAAAGGCCCACCAAGGCGACGAUCCGUGGCUGUUCUAAGAGGAUGAUCAGCCACACUGGAACUGAGACACGGUCCAGACUCCUACGGGAGGCAGCGGUGGGGAAUAUUGGACAAUGGGCGCAAGCCUGAUCCAGCCAUACCGCGUGGGUGAAGAAGGCCUUCGGGUUGUAAAGCCCUUUUGUUGGGAAAGAAAUCCAGCUGGUUAAUACCCGGUUGGGAUGACGGUACCCAAAGAAUAAGCACCGGCUAACUUCGUGCCAGCCGCCGCGGUAA